RNAcentral lists this ribosomal RNA (527 nucleotides) under Peromyscus attwateri (Texas deermouse). Its description in RNAcentral is "partial 12S ribosomal RNA". It matches the Rfam family "Bacterial small subunit ribosomal RNA", at positions 768 to 1515 of the family's 1533-position model. Lineage: Eukaryota; Metazoa; Chordata; Mammalia; Rodentia; Cricetidae. The record is from RNAcentral.
UAAACUGGGAUUAGAUACCCCACUAUGCUUAGCCCUAAACUUCAACUAUUAAAUAACGAAAUAGUUUGCCUGAGAACUACUGGCCACCGCUUAAAACUCAAAGGACUUGGCGGUACUUUAUAUCCAUCUAGAGGAGCCUGUUCUAUAAUCGAUAAACCCCGUUAUACCUCACCAUCCCUUGCUAAUUCAGCCUAUAUACCGCCAUCUUCAGCAAACCUUAAAAAGGAAUAAAAGUAAGCAAGAGAAUUACCAUAAAAACGUUAGGUCAAGGUGUAGCCUAUGAGAUGGGAAGUAAUGGGCUACAUUUUCUUAAAAAGAACAUUACGAUACCCUUAUUGAAACAUAAGGAAAAAGGAGGAUUUAGUAGUAAAUUAAGAAUAGAGAGCUUAAUUGAAUAGCGCAAUGAAGUACGUACACACCGCCCGUCACCCUCCUCAAAUUAAAUGAUUACAAACAUAAUAUAUAAUUUAGUAAGCAAGUUUAUGAGAGGAGAUAAGUCGUAACAAGGUAAGCAUACUGGAAAGUGA